CCAAAAAGGAUGUGAUACUCAAGUUAACAAGAUACAGAUUUUACAUAUAUCUAAUGAGUAAUACAUAAAUCCUCCAAAUCGUAGAUAACAGGAGACAGUCAUGAUACCCGUGUAAUUAAUCUUGCUGUUCAACUAACCGAAACCAUGUGGGUGAUGUGUUGACAACUACAUGUAUAAAAGUUCAUACAUCGGGAAAUCAGCAGAGAAGCCCCCUACAACAUGUUGCAGUGAAAAAAAAAAAGUCCACAGAAAAAUUUGGCACUCUUGGCUUACCAUUCCUUGAGAACUUUCAUUCUGUGGUUAAAUUAAUGGGUGCAGCCAUAUGAAUGAGGGCCCAUCGAUUUUAAUAAAGGUUGUCUGGAUGACAGAAAAGUUUGACAAUAUCCAUAAUUACAGCUGUGACGUCCCUUGGAUGUAAGCUCAAUCAGACAUGCCAAUAGGUACC
Molecule: long non-coding RNA, 445 nt
Filed under: Elaeis guineensis (African oil palm)
Lineage: Eukaryota; Viridiplantae; Streptophyta; Magnoliopsida; Arecales; Arecaceae
Description: long non-coding RNA (EGUI_LNC032614)
Source: RNAcentral